GAUCAUGGCUCAGGACGAACGCUGGCGGCGUGCCUAAUACAUGCAAGUAGAACGCUGAAGAGGGGAGCUUGCUCUUCUUGGAUGAGUUGCGAACGGGUGAGUAACGCGUAGGUAACCUGCCUUGUAGCGGGGGAUAACUAUUGGGAACGAUAGCUAAUACCGCAUAACAAUGGAUGACACAUGUCAUUUAUUUGAAAGGGGCAAUUGCUCCACUACAAGAUGGACCUGCGUUG
This 233-nucleotide ribosomal RNA is filed under the name uncultured bacterium. RNAcentral's name for it is "partial 16S ribosomal RNA". It matches the Rfam family "Bacterial small subunit ribosomal RNA", at positions 15 to 238 of the family's 1533-position model. The record is from RNAcentral.